UGUAUUUUGCCUUCGAGGCUUGUAUUAACACAAUAGCUUAUGACAAUACCAAGGUUAUGAAGGGGGAGGGGGGUGUUGGAAGAAGGCUUAUGUUUUGGUUUGGGUCAUAUUUUUAUCACUGCUGAUCUCAUGCAAUUUUGGAAUCUGGUCAAAUCUAUCUGAAGACUAUUGAAAAGUAAAUCAGGACUCCCUUUUCAGAACCCAGGCUACGGAAAGCCAGUGGACUGUCCGUAGUCAGCCUUCUCUAGCUGCUGGGCUACCCUAAAGAUGAUGGCAGGGCUCUGAAGCCGCCUGGGAGCCUGUCUGGAAAGAAUGGAAAAGAGAAAUCAUGCAGCAUCUUAAGGCAUUAAACGCAGGGGUUCAUUAAUAAGCUAAAUGGUUCCCACAACAGCCAAGGAAAGCAGCGCUCAGUUUUGUCAUCAGGAUACUGUUCCCAGGUAUACUCAGCCACACGUGGCCCCAGAGACGAGCCUCGCACCUGGAAGAUGAGAAACGUAUGACAUUGGAGAAGCUAUGACAAGAUUAUCUAGCUAGUAUUCCACAAAUGUAUGUAUUUGGAAACUAUUAUUUAUUGUGUGGAAAUGUCAUGCAUCCCCACGUGAUGGCAGUUGUCAUUUUCCUGAGAGCCUACAUCACAUAGCAGUGGUUACCCAAGGGUGGUCCCUGGGACGAGGGCAUCAGUAUCGCUUGGACACCUACCUGUUAGAAUGCGAAUAUUUGGCCCCACCUCAGACCUACUGCGUCAGAAAUCCUAGGAGUAGGUGCCACCACCUGUGCUUUAAUAAGCCCUUUGGGUAAUUCUGGUGCCCAAGUUUGAGAACCGCUGACCUGAUGAUGGAUACCAUGGGCCCUGAAGUAAGACUGCCCAAAUUUAAACCCUCACUCCACCAACUCACUGGAGUAAUACUAGUGUCAACAA
Hipposideros armiger (great roundleaf bat) is the source of this 919-nucleotide long non-coding RNA. RefSeq lists it as uncharacterized. NCBI's taxonomy places the organism in Eukaryota, Metazoa, Chordata, Mammalia, Chiroptera, Hipposideridae. The record is from RefSeq and is a predicted model, not a curated record. The transcript is spliced from 3 exons.